UUUCUUUCCCAAUUCCAUUCCUUUGCAGCACAGCUCACACACUCUAGCACAGAAUCACUCAUCAUGUUCGUCUUGUUAACACCUCAAAGCCAUACAACAUGAGAAUACUAGAGCGCACACACACGCACACACACACACGCACACACACACACACACACACACACUGGUGUAAGCUGGGACCAGGUGGACUUUAUAAGGUCUGUUCUCAGUGUGAGGAGCUGUGGGAAACAGACCUGUCUCAAGACUCCCGCUGACACUGGCUCCAGCAGCAUCUUAAUUAAUGGGAAAUCACUGUUUUAAAGAGGCAUGGCAGAACUAUACUUUGUAUUGCCAAAGCAAUAGACAGACAACAUGACAAGUACAACCGAAAGCUGUUCUGAAGAAAAACCUCAGCCAGUCCCUCUUCUCUGCCUCUCACUCUGCAAUGGGGGCAAUGACCUCAGAUGCUCCACACCCUGCUGAUUCAACACAGUAUCUUAUCAUAUCUCUAAAGCAUUACAGCUGCUGUUACCGUGCCAAAUAAUCAACAGUUGGGGCUUUACAAAAUCACAUAAUAACAGCAAUGUCACAUACCAUAAUUGGCCACGGUAACAUAAUUGCAGCCAAAUUUACCUUCCUAAUUGAUCCGUGCAUUGCUUUCACAUGCUGGAUCUCUGCGGGCUCUCGGGCCGCGGCUGUGUUGUGAUGGUUCUGCCGGGGCCGUUUUGCCCUCUCUGCACUGGGCCCUGCCGUCUGUCAGUGGCGGGCCAGCUGCAGUGGCGGUCACGGCGCCUGUUUUUAGGCGGCCGCUGCCACGCCAGUAAAAAAAAAAGCCGUAAUCCACCAGCGUGGGCCGGCUGGUUCUCAGGCCCCCGCUCUAAUUACAGGGUCAGAGGCUCAGCGGCUCGUCAAUCAUCAGGUCAUUAGUGCUCUUUAAUGACCCGCCCCUCCCCCCCUCCAGCCCAGAACCCCACCCCCCGACUGACCCCAACGGGCCCGCAAGGGGAAGUGGAACAGCCCCGGGGCCAAAGUCAGGGCCUCUUUUUCAUUUCAUUUUUUUUUUUAGCUUCCUCACUUCCUCUCUCUCUCUCCAUUUGUUCUUCCAAUCCUCUAUUUUGAUGAUUCUCUCCCUCUUUUCUCUCCCUCUUUUCUCUCCUCUUCUUGAAACUGGUCCCUCCGUUUCUGGGUUCUCGUGUCUUGUUUCUCAGGGGUACCCUCCUCCCUUGUCUUCUAUUCUAGGGGGUUUGGCCUCCAUGGGUCCUCUGAGAGCGGAGCCACCAUGAAUCAUAUAGGGGUGUGAGGGGUACAGACCAGUCAGUCGCAUUCACACCACACACACACACACACACACACACACACACACACACACACACACAC
Molecule: long non-coding RNA, 1356 nt
Organism: Clupea harengus (Atlantic herring)
Lineage: Eukaryota; Metazoa; Chordata; Actinopteri; Clupeiformes; Clupeidae
Source: RefSeq, a predicted model, not a curated record